GCCGACGUAGCUCAAUAGGUAGAGCUUCUGAUUUGUAAUCAGGGGGUUGCUGGUUCAAGUCCGGCCGUCGGCUCCA
Molecule: transfer RNA, 76 nt
Filed under: Deltaproteobacteria bacterium
Lineage: Bacteria; Pseudomonadati; Myxococcota; Myxococcia
Description: tRNA-Thr
Rfam family: tRNA
About the family: Transfer RNA (tRNA) molecules are approximately 80 nucleotides in length.
Source: RNAcentral